AGCUCCAAUAGCGUAUAUUAAAGUUGUUGCAGUUAAAAAGCUCGUAGUUGGAUCUCAGGUGCAGGCUCGCGGUCCACCUUGCGGUGGUUACUGCCCGUCCUGACCUACCUCCCGGUUUUCCCUUGGUGCUCUUGACUGAGUGCCUCGGGUGGCCGGAACGUUUACUUUGAAAAAAUUAGAGUGUUCAAAGCAGGCAAUUUGCCUGAAUAUUCGUGCAUGGAAUAAUGGAAUAGGACCUCGGUUCUAUUUUGUUGGUUUUCGGAACUUGAGGUAAUGAUUAAGAGGGACAGACGGGGGCAUUCGUAUUACGGUGUUAGAGGUGAAAUUCUUGGAUCGCCGUAAGACGAACUACUGCGAAAGCAUUUGCCAAGAAUGUUUUCAUUA
Molecule: ribosomal RNA, 384 nt
Filed under: Thoracophelia sp.
Lineage: Eukaryota; Metazoa; Annelida; Polychaeta; Opheliidae
Description: partial small subunit ribosomal RNA
Rfam family: Eukaryotic small subunit ribosomal RNA
Source: RNAcentral